Molecule: ribosomal RNA, 460 nt
Filed under: uncultured bacterium
Lineage: Bacteria
Description: partial 16S ribosomal RNA
Rfam family: Bacterial small subunit ribosomal RNA
Source: RNAcentral
CCUACGGGUGGCAGCAGUGAGGAAUAUUGGUCAAUGGACGCAAGUCUGAACCAGCCAUGCCGCGUGCAGAAAGACGGCUCUAUGAGUUGUAAACUGCUUUUGUACGAGGGUAAACGCAGAUACGCGUAUCUGUCUGAAAGUAUCGUACGAAUAAGGAUCGGCUAACUCCGUGCCAGCAGCCGCGGUAAUACGGAGGAUUCAAGCGUUAUCCGGAUUUAUUGGGUUUAAAGGGUGCGUAGGCGGUCGGAUAAGUUAGAGGUGAAAUCCCGAGGCUCAACUUCGGAAUUGCCUCUGAUACUGUUAGGCUAGAGAGUAGUUGCGGUAGGCGGAAUGUAUGGUGUAGCGGUGAAAUGCUUAGAGAUCAUACAGAACACCGAUUGCGAAGGCAGCUUACCAAGCUACGUCUGACGUUGAGGCACGAAAGCGUGGGGAGCAAACAGGAUUAGAUACCCCAGUAGUC